Molecule: long non-coding RNA, 345 nt
Organism: Hyposmocoma kahamanoa
Lineage: Eukaryota; Metazoa; Arthropoda; Insecta; Lepidoptera; Cosmopterigidae
Exons: 3
Source: RefSeq, a predicted model, not a curated record
ACGGCUGCUAAGGAAUUCAAAAAUGAAAUCGUCCGCGGCGCUGCUUUUGGUCGUGAUUUGCGGAACCUACGCAAGUUCGACCAAUUUAGAGCAGACCUCCGUGAUACGCGAUAAACGUAGCACUGACAAUGACUAUUUAUCGGAUUCUAAAAUUACAAUACGGAAAGAGGGAGUUUUGAAUUUAUUACGAAAAAUAAGAGAGCUCGCAGAAAAAUAUUUAGGCCCUAUAUACCGAAAAAUAUUUUCUACCUUGCCAUAUUGCGUCAUGGUAAGUACCUACUGAUUUACUUACUUUAAAUAACCAACUUCAUGAAAUAUGAGGAGGUAGCAAUAGAGCUCCUUGUG